UACAGAGGUGGCAAGCGUUGUUCGGAAUUACUGGGCGUAAAGGGCGCGUAGGCGGUCUUGUAAGUCUCGUGUGAAAUCCCUCGGCUUAACUGAGGAACUGCACGGGAUACUGCAUGACUUGAGAUCGGGAGAGGGAAGCGGAAUUCCGGGUGUAGCGGUGAAAUGCGUAGAUAUCGGGAGGAACACCUGUGGCGAAAGCGGCUCACUGGACCACAACUGACGCUGAUGCGCGAAAGCUAGGGGAGCAAACAGG
Molecule: ribosomal RNA, 253 nt
Filed under: uncultured bacterium
Lineage: Bacteria
Description: partial 16S ribosomal RNA
Rfam family: Bacterial small subunit ribosomal RNA
Source: RNAcentral